Molecule: long non-coding RNA, 186 nt
Organism: Thalassophryne amazonica
Lineage: Eukaryota; Metazoa; Chordata; Actinopteri; Batrachoidiformes; Batrachoididae
Exons: 3
Source: RefSeq, a predicted model, not a curated record
AAUGUGCUGUGCUUGAUUGUAUUUCUGCAGUGUGUGAAUGUGCGGGUAUGUGUUGCGUAAGGGCCCUGUCUUACAACCAGGCGCAAAAUGUCAUUCUAAGUUUCCAACCAACACAGGUGUUGUUUUCUGGCUCACAGGCCAUGUUUAAAUGUAAAAUUUGUGUUGUUUUGAGUUUUUACAUUGUGU